AGUGAACGCUGGCGGUAGGCCUAACACAUGCAAGUCGAACGGCAGCACAGUAAGAGCUUGCUCUUACGGGUGGCGAGUGGCGGACGGGUGAGGAAUACAUCGGAAUCUACUUUUUCGUGGGGGAUAACGUAGGGAAACUUACGCUAAUACCGCAUACGACCUACGGGUGAAAGCAGGGGAUCUUCGGACCUUGCGCGAUUGAAUGAGCCGAUGUCGGAUUAGCUAGUUGGCGGGGUAAAGGCCCACCAAGGCGACGAUCCGUAGCUGGUCUGAGAGGAUGAUCAGCAACACUGGAACUGAGACACGGUCCAGACUCCUACGGGAGGCAGCAGUGGGGAAUAUUGGACAAGGGGCGGAAGCCUGAUCCAGCCAUACCGCGUGAGUGAAGAAGGCCUUCGGGUUGUAAAGCCCUUUUGUUGGGAAAGAAAAGCAGCAGGUUAAUACCCCGCUGUUCUGACGGUACCCAAAGAAUAAGCACCGGCUAACUUCGU
RNAcentral lists this ribosomal RNA (491 nucleotides) under uncultured bacterium. RNAcentral's name for it is "partial 16S ribosomal RNA". It matches the Rfam family "Bacterial small subunit ribosomal RNA", at positions 29 to 506 of the family's 1533-position model. The record is from RNAcentral.